This 781-nucleotide ribosomal RNA is filed under the name uncultured bacterium. Its description in RNAcentral is "bacterial SSU rRNA". It matches the Rfam family "Bacterial small subunit ribosomal RNA", at positions 28 to 807 of the family's 1533-position model. The record is from RNAcentral.
GAUGACCUCUGGCGGCGUGCCUAAUACAUGCAAGUCGAACGCUUCACUUCGGUGAAGAGUGGCGAACGGGUGAGUAAUACAUAAGUAACCUGGCAUCUACAGGGGGAUAACUGAUGGAAACGUCAGCUAAGACCGCAUAGGUGUAGAGAUCGCAUGAACUCUAUAUGAAAAGUGCUACGGGACUGGUAGAUGAUGGACUUAUGGCGCAUUAGCUUGUUGGUAGGGUAACGGCCUACCAAGGCGACGAUGCGUAGCCGACCUGAGAGGGUGACCGGCCACACUGGGACUGAGACACGGCCCAGACUCCUACGGGAGGCAGCAGUAGGGAAUUUUCGGCAAUGGGGGAAACCCUGACCGAGCAACGCCGCGUGAAGGAAGAAGUAAUUCGUUAUGUAAACUUCUGUCAUAGAGGAAGAACGGUGGAUAUAGGGAAUGAUAUCCAAGUGACGGUACUCUAUAAGAAAGCCACGGCUAACUACGUGCCAGCAGCCGCGGUAAUACGUAGGUGGCGAGCGUUAUCCGGAAUUAUUGGGCGUAAAGAGGGAGCAGGCGGCACUAAGGGUCUGUGGUGAAAGAUCGAAGCUUAACUUCGGUAAGCCAUGGAAACCGUAGAGCUAGAGUGUGUGAGAGGAUCGUGGAAUUCCAUGUGUAGCGGUGAAAUGCGUAGAUAUAUGGAGGAACACCAGUGGCGAAGGCGACGAUCUGGCGCAUAACUGACGCUCAGUCCCGAAAGCGUGGGGAGCAAAUAGGAUUAGAUACCCUAGUAGUCCACGCCGUAAAC